Long non-coding RNA from Gekko japonicus, 378 nucleotides. RefSeq lists it as uncharacterized. The record is from RefSeq and is a predicted model, not a curated record. The transcript is spliced from 3 exons. Lineage: Eukaryota; Metazoa; Chordata; Lepidosauria; Squamata; Gekkonidae.
GACUGGACACAGCAUUUUUGAUUUCACCCAUCCAUGUGAUCACGAAGAAAUUCGAGAAAACUUGAGCCUGAAAAAUGGUCCAGGCUUUGGGAAAAAAAAUAAAGAGAUGUCCAUGGAACGUGACUUCUUUAUGAGAAUGAAAUGCACGGUUACCAACAGAGGUAGAACAGUCAAUCUGAAAUCUGCCACAUGGAAGGUUUUGCACUGCACUGGGCAAAUGAAGGUCUAUAAUACAUGCCCUCCACAUGCCCUGUGUGGCUAUAAGGAGCCUCUCUUAUCCUGCCUCAUAUUAAUGUGUGAGCCUAUUCAGCACCCUUCCAACACUGAUAUUCCACUGGAUAGCAAGACAUUCCUGAGCCGUCAUAGCAUGGACAUGAA